RNAcentral lists this ribosomal RNA (506 nucleotides) under uncultured bacterium. RNAcentral describes it as "partial 16S ribosomal RNA". It matches the Rfam family "Bacterial small subunit ribosomal RNA", at positions 29 to 523 of the family's 1533-position model. The record is from RNAcentral.
AGUGAACGCUGGCGGUAGGCCUAACACAUGCAAGUCGAACGGCAGCACAGGAGGGCUUGCUCUCUGGGUGGCGAGUGGCGGACGGGUGAGGAAUACAUCGGAAUCUACUCUGUCGUGGGGGAUAACGUAGGGAAACUUACGCUAAUACCGCAUACGACCUACGGGUGAAAGCAGGGGAUCUUCGGACCUUGCGCGAUUGAAUGAGCCGAUGUCGGAUUAGCUAGUUGGCGGGGUAAAGGCCCACCAAGGCGACGAUCCGUAGCUGGUCGGGGAGGAUGAUCAGCCACACUGGAACUGAGACACGGUCCAGACUCCUACGGGAGUCAGCAGUGGGGAAUAUUGGACAAUGGGCGCAAGCCUGAUCCAGCCAUACCGCGUGGGUGAAGAAGGCCUUCGGGUUGUAAAGCCCUUUUGUUGGGAAAGAAAUCCAGCUGGCUAAUACCCGGUUGGGAUGACGGUACCCAAAGAAUAAGCACCGGCUAACUUCGUGCCAGCCGCCGCAGUAA